Molecule: transfer RNA, 77 nt
Filed under: Vreelandella venusta
Lineage: Bacteria; Pseudomonadati; Pseudomonadota; Gammaproteobacteria; Oceanospirillales; Halomonadaceae
Also listed under: 5 other names
Description: Halomonas venusta tRNA-Arg
Rfam family: tRNA
About the family: Transfer RNA (tRNA) molecules are approximately 80 nucleotides in length. Their secondary structure includes four short double-helical elements and three loops (D, anti-codon, and T loops).
Source: RNAcentral
GCGCCCGUAGCUCAGUUGGAUAGAGUGUCGGCCUCCGAAGCCGAAGGUCGCAGGUUCGAUUCCUGCCGGGCGCGCCA